This 73-nucleotide transfer RNA is filed under the name Pedobacter sp. RNAcentral's name for it is "tRNA-Thr". It matches the Rfam family "tRNA". Rfam says of the family: Transfer RNA (tRNA) molecules are approximately 80 nucleotides in length. Their secondary structure includes four short double-helical elements and three loops (D, anti-codon, and T loops). RNAcentral also lists the same sequence under 1 other name. The record is from RNAcentral. Lineage: Bacteria; Pseudomonadati; Bacteroidota; Sphingobacteriia; Sphingobacteriales; Sphingobacteriaceae.
GCCCAGAUAGCUCAGUUGGUAGAGCACAUCCUUGGUAAGGAUGAGGUCACGGGUUCGAGUCCCGUUCUGGGCU